CCCUUAGAUGUUCUGGGCCGCACGCGCGCUACACUGAUGCAUUCAACGAGUUUCUUCCUGGUCCGAGAGGAAUGGGUAACCUUUUGAAAGUGCAUCGUGAUAGGGAUAGACUAUUGCAAUUAUUGGUCUUCAACGAGGAAUUCCUAGUAGACGUAGUUCAUCAGACUGCAUCGAUUACGUCCCUGCCCUUUGUACACACCGCCCGUCGCUCCUACCGAUUGAAUGCUCAGGUGAAGCCUCGGGAUUGUGGUUCUUGCCGCUUUAUUGUGGCGUGACCGCGAGAACUUGUCUAAACCUUAUCAUCUAGAGGAAGGUGAAGUCGUAACA
This 327-nucleotide ribosomal RNA is filed under the name uncultured eukaryote. RNAcentral describes it as "partial 18S ribosomal RNA". It matches the Rfam family "Eukaryotic small subunit ribosomal RNA", at positions 1470 to 1796 of the family's 1831-position model. The record is from RNAcentral.